Molecule: long non-coding RNA, 2686 nt
Organism: Equus asinus (donkey)
Lineage: Eukaryota; Metazoa; Chordata; Mammalia; Perissodactyla; Equidae
Source: Ensembl
GUCCCAGAACAUGAUGAAUAUGAAAACAGGUUGAGUGCAAAGAAAUAUGUGCUGUACUUGGGCAAACGUGAACAAACGCCAUCAGGAUGUACAAGAAUAAGCUCUGAGCCAAACAACGGCUAAGCAGCCCUGAGCUAACAUCUGUACCCAUCUUCCUCUACUUCAUAUGUGGGACGACUGCCACAGCAUGGCUUGACAAGGGGUGCAUAGGUGUCCACCCAGGAUUCCAACUGGCAAACCUCAGGCCAGAAGUGGAACUUGUGAACUUAACCACUGCGCCACCAGGCUGGUCCCCCAGAAAGAGUGAACCUCCAGCAAUUUGUCAGUUACAGUUGAAGUUUUCCUCUCCCGGGACCAGUUCUGGAGGAGGUUUCAGCUCUUGAGUUUUGCUUGGCCUAUGCUGAGCAAGGAACUAUUAUUAGUGUUGGUGAUACCAAAAUUUGAAGACAAAAUUGCCUGUCACUGUGGAGCUUCCAAAAUGAGCAUCAUCCAUCUUUCAAGCUUAUGAUGAUGCAACUGAUGUUGAUUUAGAGACCGUUUGUUCAGAGUUCCUCCUGAAGAUUCUCCUCUAUCAAGUUGAUACCUUGGGUCAUUCAAGAAGAAAUGAAGACAUUUGCAUGUGAAUUAUUUGGUUACAUUUUCUUUUACAUUUCUUCUACGGUCAUUUUUUAGUAGUUGAUAUUUUUCUAAAACUUUUUCAUAUCAUGCAAGUUUUCAAAUAUGUCUUUAUAAGUGGUAUUUUAUAGUUUUAGCAUUCUUUGCUUAUCUCUAUACCAGUCAUCAUUCAAUUUCUUUUCUAAUUUUGUAGAAUUUCUCUUCAGACUCUUGAGUUAAUUAGCUUUUCAUGAUUUUUUUUUGUUUUUUUUUUUGGUGAGGAAGAUUAUCCCUGAACUAACAUCUGUUGCCAAUCUUCCUCUUUUUGCUUGAGCAAGAUUGUCUUUGAGCUAACAUCUGUGGCAAUAUUCCUCUAUUUUGUAUGUGGGAUCUCUCCAUAGUGUGGCUUGAUGAAUGGUGUGUAGGUCUGCACCUGGGAUCCAAACCCACGAACCCUGGGCCACUGAAGUGGAAUGUGCAAAUUUAACCUCUAUGCCACUGGGCUGGCCCCAUGAAUUUUUUUUAUCAUUUCUUAGUCCUAUAACUUAAUCUUUGAUAUAUUUUUCAGAUUUGAUGCUAUUUUUAAAAAUAAUUUUUGUGUAAUCUUUAUAAUUCCCUUUCCUAUUAUGUCCUUAUUUCAUUAUUGUACUACAAAAUUUUUAAUUGAAUGCUUAAUUAUUUACCUUUAUUCUUUCUUAUUUUGAAAUAUUUAUGACAAUUUUCUCUGUGCCCUUUAUUAAAAAUAUAUUUAUUGGUUAUGAAAUGUAACAAUUUGACUAUAAUUUUAUUCUAGAUAUUUUACAAUUGAUAUUUGACUCCUUCUUUGUCAUAAGAGUUAUCAAAAAAUCUUCAUGUGUAGUGAUUUCACAGAAAUAGUAUAGUAGAGAGUUCAAAAAAUUGGUCCCUCCACUGAAGCAACCAUUAAACUGGCAAAAACACAGAAUCAACUUUUUCAGAAGUCCGGAAUCUAAUAAAAAACUUAGAUAAACAGUGGAAUGCCUAAUGAAGAAUGAGGCUACUAAAUCUUGGUAAAUUAGCCCAUCUAUAAUUCCCCAUUCCCCAGAUUUUCACCAGCCAUUGCCAUGUUCCUGGGGCAGAUUGCUGGUGUAAGGAGGUAGAGAGGGUUUAGAGGGAAAAACAAUAUGGAUCUUGGUAUUUAAAUAUUAUUUUUAUGCAUUUUGAUCAGUCUGGAGGUCCCUGAGAGACAGUAUAGAGGCUAACCUUUGUUUUGCUAUCCUUUGGAGCUAUGGCAGUUUUCCUAGCAGCAGAUGUAGAAAGCAUUUAAAGACAUGUGCCAGCCAUAGCUUCCUGGAGCAAGAGGGAGCAGACAGAGCAAGGAGUAGUCAGACCCAAAAGCAUGGGAAAGAGGAGGCUGAGGAGGAAAUUCUUGGAGGAAUAAAGGCUUUAGAAGGACUACUAUGUAUAUGGGGAAUCUGGAGUGCCACACAUAUGCCCAGGUAUGGGUGCAUACUCAGAAAAUAUCUAAGAGGAUAUUAGGCUUACCCUAAUGGCUGAUCUAUGUGCUCCAUUCAAAUAGUAAGUGAAGGCUAACACAGAGCUGUAGACAACCAGGCUUAGCAUUGAAGGAGUGCCACACACAGAGCUAAUCUGCAAAGACUGGAACAGUAUUUUUUUCAUUUUGGCCACAAGCAUUUAAGGAAAUCUCUGUCAAAUCACUAGGUGACCAAUGAAAUAAUGGAAUAGGAACCCCAGUGACCACACAUGACACAGAGUACAGUCUUUGGAAAAAUAGUUUGGAAAAGUCACUAAAUGUGUAAAAAACUGUAGUUUGCAACAACCAGCAAGAGCAAACUCUGGAGACAAGGAGAAUCUGAUUUACAAAAUUCUCAUGUUAUACUAUUCAAAAUUUUGAGUUUUCAAUAGAAAAUUAAAGCCAUACCAAGGAACAGGAAAGUAUAGUCUAUUCAUAGGAUAAAAAAGAAAUGGACAGAAACCAUCCCUGAGAAAGUGCAGAUACUGGAUUUGAUAGAGGCUUACAUCAACUGUUUUAAAUAUGUUCAAGAGUUAAAGGAAAAUGGACAAACCACUAAAGGAAGCAAAGAGAAUGAUAUAUAAACAAAUAGAGAUUAUC